Molecule: non-coding RNA, 253 nt
Organism: Schizosaccharomyces pombe (fission yeast)
Lineage: Eukaryota; Fungi; Ascomycota; Schizosaccharomycetes; Schizosaccharomycetales; Schizosaccharomycetaceae
Source: the annotation of a GenBank genome assembly
AUGACAUGGAAAUUUUGCAGGGCAAGCAAGACUUCACGACGUUGACGUUCCAAGGCCUUGUUCCAAUCGACCAAUGUUCCGACAGAAGCAGCAGGUUGUUUUUCAGGAGGUAACUGUCUGUACAAAGAAAUCCAAGAGGCAGUGACGGAGGGAGCUAUACAAACCAUGCAUCUCCAAGCAUCAUAGAAGAGUCGAGAGUUAUCGAUUGUAGAACGAAUCGCUUUAUCUAAUUUGUGGAUCUGAUCACUCCACU